CGGCCGCGUCGACAUGAAGGUCUUCGGAUCGUAAAGUUCUGUUAUGAGGGAAGAACACGUGCCGUUCGAAUAGGGCGGCACCUUGACGGUACCUCAUCAGAAAGCCCCGGCUAACUACGUGCCAGCAGCCGCGGUAAUACGUAGGGGCAAGCGUUGUCCGGAAUUAUUGGGCGUAAAGCGCGCGCAGGCGGUCUCUUAAGUCUGAUGUGAAAGCCCACGGCUCAACCGUGGAGGGCCAUUGGAAACUGGGGGACUUGAGUGUAGGAGAGGAAAGUGGAGUUCCACGUGUAGCGGUGAAAUGCGUAGAUAUGUGGAGGAACACCAGUGGCGAAGGCGACUUUCUGGCCUAUAACUGACGCUGAGGCGCGAAAGCGUGGGGAGCAAACAGGAUUAGAUACCCUGGUAGUCCACGCUGUAAACGAUGAGUGCUAGGUGUUAGGGGUUUCGAUACCCUUAGUGCCGAAGUUAACACAUUAAGCACUCCGCCUGGGGAGUACGACCGCAAGGUUGAAACUCAAAGGAAUUGACGGGGGCCCG
This 537-nucleotide ribosomal RNA is filed under the name uncultured Bacillus sp. RNAcentral describes it as "bacterial SSU rRNA". It matches the Rfam family "Bacterial small subunit ribosomal RNA", at positions 394 to 923 of the family's 1533-position model. Lineage: Bacteria; Bacillati; Bacillota; Bacilli; Caryophanales; Bacillaceae. The record is from RNAcentral.